RNAcentral lists this ribosomal RNA (274 nucleotides) under uncultured bacterium. RNAcentral describes it as "partial 16S ribosomal RNA". It matches the Rfam family "Bacterial small subunit ribosomal RNA", at positions 523 to 796 of the family's 1533-position model. The record is from RNAcentral.
AUACAGAGGGUGCAAGCGUUAUUCGGAAUUACUGGGCGUAAAGGACGCGUAGGCGGGUUGGCAAGUCAGAUGUGAAAUCCUACAGCUUAACUGUAGAACUGCAUUUGAAACUGCUAACCUAGAGUAUGGGAGGGGGAGAUGGAAUUAGUGGUGUAGGGGUAAAAUCCGUAGAUAUCACUAGGAAUACCGAAAGCGAAGGCGAUCUCCUGGAACAUAACUGACGCUAAGGCGUGAAAGCGUGGGGAGCAAACAGGAUUAGAAACCCUGGUAGUCC